RNAcentral lists this ribosomal RNA (253 nucleotides) under uncultured bacterium. RNAcentral's name for it is "partial 16S ribosomal RNA". It matches the Rfam family "Bacterial small subunit ribosomal RNA", at positions 524 to 776 of the family's 1533-position model. The record is from RNAcentral.
UACGUAGGUGGCAAGCGUUGUCCGGAAUUAUUGGGCGUAAAGCGCGCGCAGGCGGUCCUUUAAGUCUGAUGUGAAAGCCCACGGCUCAACCGUGGAGGGUCAUUGGAAACUGGGGGACUUGAGUACAGAAGAGAAGAGUGGAAUUCCACGUGUAGCGGUGAAAUGCGCAGAUAUCAGGAGGAACACCAAUGGCGAAGGCAGCUCGCUGGAACGGUACUGACGCUGAGGCGCGAAAGCGUGGGGAGCGAACAGG